GUUAUCGCUGGGCCCACGUCCGCGGUAAUGCAAGUGUGCGGUGCGUUUGUCGGAAUACCGGGUGGAAAAGGGUGCGAUGUCGGGGUGUUAAUGCAGGUGUGAAACCCUUGAGCUCAACUCCAGAACUGCCUUGGAUACUGAAGAUCUUUAGUUCGGGAGAGGUGAGUGGAACUGCGAGUGUAGAGGUGAAAUUCGUAGAUAUUCGCAAGAACACCAGUGGCGAAGGCGGCUCACUGGCCCGAUACUGACGCUGAGGCACGAAAGCGUGGGGAGCAAACAGGAUUAGAUACCCCAGUAGUC
RNAcentral lists this ribosomal RNA (300 nucleotides) under uncultured Bacillus sp. Its description in RNAcentral is "bacterial SSU rRNA". It matches the Rfam family "Bacterial small subunit ribosomal RNA", at positions 496 to 795 of the family's 1533-position model. The record is from RNAcentral. Lineage: Bacteria; Bacillati; Bacillota; Bacilli; Caryophanales; Bacillaceae.